UUUUGAACCCGUCCCUGAAACACGGACCAAGGAGUCUAACAUGUGCGCGAGUCAUUGGGUCUUGCUCAGGCCCAAAGGCGCAAUGAAAGUGAAGGCCGGCUCGGUCGGCUGCGUUGGGAUCCCGCCCCCUUCUAAAAGGGCGGGCGCACCAACGGCCCGUCCCRGUCGCUGCGUCGACGGGGCGGAGUGAGAGCGUACACGUUGGGACCCGAAAGAUGGUGAACUAUGCCUGGGCAGGACGAAGCCAGAGGAAACUCUGGUGGAGGUCCGCAGCGAUUCUGACGUGCAAAUCGAUCGUCAGACCUGGGUAUAGGGGCGAAAGACUAAUCGAACCAUCUAGUAGCUGGUUCCCUCCGAAGUUUCCCUCAGGAUAGCUGGCGCUCGGAGGAAGCAUUCUCAUCCGGUAAAGCGAAUGAUUAGAGGCCUUGGGGCCGAAACGACCUCAACCUAUUCUCAAACUUUAAAUGGGUGAGAAGUCCGGCUUGCUCGACUGAAGCCCGGACGUGAGGAUGCGAGUGCCCAGUGGGCCACUUUUGGUAAGCAGAAUG
RNAcentral lists this ribosomal RNA (548 nucleotides) under Stylocellus sp. Sumatra 12. Its description in RNAcentral is "eukaryotic LSU rRNA". It matches the Rfam family "Eukaryotic large subunit ribosomal RNA", at positions 641 to 1152 of the family's 3401-position model. The record is from RNAcentral. Lineage: Eukaryota; Metazoa; Arthropoda; Arachnida; Opiliones; Stylocellidae.